CUUCUGCUUUUACAUCACAUUUAUUAGUUAUAUAGUUAAUUUAGUUAGGGUUAUUGGAUGAUUACCAUUAUAUUUUUAGAGGAUGAGAGGAGAUUAGGGUUUUAAUUUGAAAUAUCGGAAGUCUGAAAAUUUCAGAUUUUAAAUGUAAACCCCCAACAAUUACUAGUCACUACUCUUCGAUUUACAUCACGUGUAAAUUAAUUAUUAUAUAAUAAUCAAUAAGGCGAAACCAAUUAUGAAUUCAAUUGCUCUGUUUGUUUGUUUGUUAUGGUUGGUUUCUCUUCACAAUAUUUUUAUCCUUGAUUCCCAUUUGCCAAUGCUAGCCGAUGUCAGUUUGUUUCAUAGGUAUGCUUCUCCAUCUGACUAUAUACUCUUCCUGUCGGUAUACUUCUGGAUGUAACUGUGGACCCUUUCUUGUCGGUAUUCUUCUUGAUGGACCCUUCCUAUCGGUAUGCUUCUUGACGGACCCUUCCUGUCGGUAUGCUUCUUGACGGACCCUUCCUGUCGGUAUGCUUCUUGAUGGACCCUUCCUGUAGGUAUGCUUCUUGUUGGACCCCUUCCUGUCGGUAUGCUUCUCAGUGUCACUAUAGACCCUUCUUGUCGGUAUGCUUCUUGGUGUAACUCUUAACCCUUCCUGUCGGUAUGCUUCUUGAUGUAACUAUGGACCCUUCCAGUUGGUAUGCUUCUCGAUACAACCUUGGACCCUUCCAGUCGAUAUGCUUCCCGAUGCAACUAUGGACUCUUCUUGUGGUAUGCAUUACGCUGUAACUAUCGACCCUUCCUGUCGGUAUGUUUUUUGAAGAACUACCAAUUAUUGCGUGUAUUUCAUAAAACUACAAAGGUAAUAUGUCUUUCAGAAAAAUUGAGUUGCUGCAGCUGAGACUCUUUCCUAUUAAUUGAUCAGCAUCUUAAAUAAUCUCUUUAUUUUCAUAGAAAGUUUUGUUAGAAUGUUGGUUUGUAACGUUCUGUAUGGUUUCGCCACACAUUGCAAUGUAUGAAGUUUUUCUGUGAUCUCUUGCGAAGUACUCGAAGACAGGUUACUUAGAAACUUAACCUGAUCGAAAAAAUAGUCCUAUAUCUGUACAUUAUUAUAAAACAUUCCAAAAGUCCUAAUCAUAUGGUCAAUACACCAUUAAAAGCCCUCUUUCUAUAGUCGAGCUGCUCUUGGUUUCUUAUCUGUAGAUAGUUUAUGGUUCUGAUAUGCAAUAUCCUAAAGAAACUGAACAAAUUUCUUUAGCCUUACAGUUGGUGAGACAUCUGUUUCUAGAUUUAUAUAUUCUUUAUUUUUAAAUGUUUUUUAUCGGCCAUUUUUUGCAAUCCGUAUAUGCUUGGAUGUAAAAUAAUCACCCUCUUUCCUUGAUGUUGUUUACACCGUGAGCUGGUUAUCAUGCCGACUAUUAUUUUAUAUUGAAAGGAUGGUAUGUUAUCUGUGUUCAAAUUCUGUUAAAUAUGGCGUUGGAGCCUUUUGUCAGUAUGCUGUCCAAUAUAGUCAAUGGACGCUUAGAUCAAUAUGCUUUUUAAUUCCAGUGGUUAUGCUUUCCAAGGUAACUAACAACCCUUCUUGUCAGUGUGCUAUACUAUACAACUAUGGACUCUUCCUUGUUGGUAUUCUUUACGAUUCAACUAUGGACCCUUCGUUGUUGUCAUGCUUUACGUUGCAACUAUGGACCCUUCUUGUCGGUUUGCUUCUCGAUGUAAUUAUGGAACCUUCCUGUCUAUAUGACGGUGUAACUACGGACCCUGCUGGUAGCGUUUUGAAAGUCCAUAUAUGCUUUGAUGUAAAAUAAUCGACCCUCUUUCCUUGAUGUUGUAUACACAGAGCAUGUUAUCACGCUGGUAAACUACUAUUCGUUUUCUAAUCUAGGAAAGACAGAUAAUGUUAUGAUAGUAUCAAAAACAAGUAAUUUUUAGAGAUUUAGGAAUAAAUAAAAAGAUAUAAGGAGCAUGUAUAUACUAAACUGGUGAUAACCGGAUAUGGAUGAAAUCGGAUAGAUUUUUGUCCAAACGAGGAGGGAUGAAAGUGAAGAAUGCCUCUACUAAAAAUUUGUAUACAUGCAUGUUGUGGUUGAUAUAGUAGCUAUCUGGAAGAAACCAACUAUUAAAGGUUUUGAAAGCCCGAACAGUCAAUAUCCAUGUUACAACUGAUUUUCUACAACACUUUCAUUUAUGUAUUUAGACCGACUAACUAUUACUAUAUAGCAGUCACUUUCUAAUACAAACAAAGACAAUGUUUUUUUAGUUUUCAUCUAAUUUGAGAUUAUUUUGCGAAGGCUUAUAGUUUGCCGGCAUAAGUUGUUAUUUCAGUCUAGCUUUUUGUUGAGUUUGCUUCAUUCAGUUGGGUGAGGUUUAUACUAGAUUUUCAUUGAUCAGGAUUAAAAGCUUAUGCACUGUGAUGUUUUUUUGUUAAGCUGUUUAUGGCUCUGCUGAUUCAUUUGGUAACCAAACUGUCUACAACCUUUAGCUUCUUUUAUAAUCUUUCUAAACUUGUGUCACCAAUUAGAGAUGGUCGUAUUGAUUUAGAAAGUUUUAUACAUCUGGUGGAAAAGAUGCCUGUCUUUCCCAUCUACUUCCAUAUGACGAUUACAGCUGCAUCUUGUGUAAGCUUAUGUUUAUUUUUGUUAUUGCUUUAUAUUGAUGUUUGCAAGCAUUUGUUUAUAAGGGUUGAGAAUACACUGAUAAUCUCACCAUUCUGAAUUAGAUCAUAGCAUAGAUAUAUGAGAAUACACAUAUUAAUCAGUUUUUUUUAGUUGAUUGGGCCUAUCAAUGUUAUCCUUGAUUUAUCUUUUAGAUCAUCUAAGUUUUUUUUUUCUUUUCUCUGUGCAUGAGUACCUGUGUACUAGUUAAAGUUGUCUAAGACAACCUUCACCUUUUCUCUUCUUGAUCACAUUUGGGAUCUCCUAAUUCUGUACGUCUUUGCUGCAUCCGUGUAUAUCUCCUCUCCUAUCUUUCUUUGCUGGGAUGCUUCAAGAUAUGAGACCUUGUUUACAUUUUGAGCUGUUUGGUGUCAUAUGCUGCUGUGACCCAAAUGUAAGGCAUGGCUUCUAGAGUGGCUGCAUUGGUUCGAUAUCUUCCUGCUGGAAGUCCUGUCUUCUAUUGCGUAUAUUGUCUCGUAGACAAAGUUAGUAGCCUUUGCAGUGAAGUCCCUACUUAGCCUGGAUUAUGGAUCGACUUACAUGACGAGUUACAGCCACGCAAGAAACUUCUUGCCCUGGUCGAUACACAGGUAGCCCUACUAAAGUGCCCCAGUUUUCAAUGCUUAAUCAUGCUUUUACUAGAGGUGGCAAUAUCUACCCAUCUACUUCCGAGUGGGAUGAUUGGGUUAUGGCUCAUCACUAAUGGGUCAUAUCAGAAAAAAAGAAAAGAGUAGCCAAACAGGUUGAAAAUCGUGAAACUUAUAAGAUUCUCAUUCCUUCUAAUUUGAAGGAUUAGAUAUUUGUAGGAAUAAUGUAAAUUCCUUGGAAUCGUAUGUAAUGCAGUCUUUAUAAGUUUUGGACAAAAAUGCUUUAGUUAGCACAAAAAUAAGCCUGUUUUAACCCAGUGUGCUUUUGACACAUUAUUAGACCAUUUUCCACGUCUAGAUUCUACAUAGAUGUUCUCAUCCGUAAUUAUAUAUACAAAGCAAAAUGUUACUCAA
Erigeron canadensis is the source of this 3634-nucleotide long non-coding RNA. RefSeq lists it as uncharacterized. NCBI's taxonomy places the organism in Eukaryota, Viridiplantae, Streptophyta, Magnoliopsida, Asterales, Asteraceae. The record is from RefSeq and is a predicted model, not a curated record. The transcript is spliced from 2 exons.